This 2053-nucleotide long non-coding RNA is filed under the name Homo sapiens (human). RNAcentral's name for it is "HSALNT0254915". Lineage: Eukaryota; Metazoa; Chordata; Mammalia; Primates; Hominidae. The record is from RNAcentral.
CCAGCCUGGGUGACAGAGUGAGAUUCUGUCUCAAAAUAAAUAAAUAAAAGUAUGUGCAACUAGCACAUUAACGUUCCACAACUCUGGGGACAUUACUGUUCAGGAAGAGGCCAAGAUCAAAGAGGUGAGUCAUUUUUAAAUGGACUUAAAGAAAACUGUCUGGCAAAUCGACAGGUCAGGGCUAUGGUGACUGGGAGGGUGUGGAAGUGCCACCCCUGGGGGCAGCCAAGCAAGCCUGGGCAAGGACCUGCCAAAGCUCAGAGGCCAAAGAGCAGCCCAGGAAGACCCGGAGCUCAGAGGCCAGAGAGCAGCCCAGAAGACCCCACAGAUGCCGGGCUGCCCCUCAUUGCAGGGCGUGCAGGGGACCCCGUGGGGGCUCCUGUCCUCUCAGGUGGAAGCUGCCACCCUGGAAGGGCAGAAGGACAGUCACGGAGAACCUGAACAACCAGACUCUCUUGCUGUUGCCUAGGCUGGAGGGCAGUGGUGUGAUCACGGCUCACUGCAGCCUCAACCUCCCAGGCUCAAGCGAUCCUCCCACCUCAGCCUCCCAAAGUGCUGGGACAACAGGCCUGAGCCACUGCGCCUAGCCAUCUCUACAUUAUAACUGCAUGUGAAUCUACAAUGCAAGGUAAAAUUUAAUGAAAAUGAAUGAUGAAUGAAUUGACCCCCCACACUGCAGAGACACCAGUGUAGAGGGCUUGCAUUUAGAAGUCAGCCCUGGCAAAGGCUGGUAGCUCCUAGCACUGCCCAGAGCAGGACCUGGGGCUCAGCCACCUAUCUGAGCCUCCCAAUCCCAGAGUCCACUCGGCCAUCUCUGCCACCCAUCCUCGCGUGUUGUCUCAGAGCACGCAUCUCCCUGGUCUGUCAUCUGCAGAUCUGUCUCCCACACCAGGCUGGGUGCCUCCUAAGACAGGGACUGCAAUCGCGUUUCUCUGUCUCAUCUUGUAUGAUGCCUGACUCAGCAGAUGAUAGAAGUCGAAGGUGCUAACGAUGGGCACACAUCACAAACUCAUUGCGAGGCACAACUCGGCUCAGCGUGACCCUCUCACUGCAUCCCUGGAAGCUCCCAUGGGGCUGGCAAGGGACAGUGUCUGCCCCAAGGCCGCCUGGACCGAGCACCUGUUCCCUUUCCCGCUGUGCCUCCUGCAUCCCCAGAGGGCUCGGGACACAAGCAUGAAUGAAUCGAAGAACCCAAACACCCCAAGGUGUGGUCGGCCAGGUAUCUUCGUUUCCCUGCCUGGUGACACCCCUGCCUUGUGACAGUCAAUGUGCAGAAAUGCAGUUUUCUUCUGCUAGGGGAGGGACUGAGGUGGAGGAAGCCCGUGGGUGCUGGCUGGGCAGGUUAUCUGUCUCAGGGUAAACGGGCAGCAGCUGGUGUAUAACUGGUGCGGAUGGAGCCUAAGGUGGCCCCACAACCCCCACCUCCUGGCAACCACGCAUUUGUAGGCGUUUCUCCCCAUAAAAGUAUGGACAGGGCUGUCACUUAAACCUAACCCAUAAAAUACAGCAGAGCUGACGGACUGUCACUCCUGGGACGAUGACACAUCACACGAUGCUCUAUAUCUUACUAGCCGACUAGCUGAAGACCUCCCUUGCUAGCUUGACAUCAGUAGCCACAUCAGAGAAGCCCAUGGGGCAAGGAACUGCAGGUGGGCCCUGGGAACUGCAGGCGGCCUCCAAGAACCAAGUUAAAAAAAAAAAAAUGAAGCCCCCAUCCUUCAACCGCAAAGUAGUGGAUUAUAUCAGCCACCACAAGAGCUUGGAAGGGGUUGUAUGAGUCUGUUCUCAUGUUGCUAAUAAAGACAUACUAAAUAAUAAAGACUGGGUAAUUUAGAAAGGAAAGAGGUUUAAUGGACUCACAGUUCCGCAUGGCUGGGGAGGCCUCACAAUCAUGGUGGAAGGUGAACGAGCACAGGCACAUCUUACACAGCGGCAGGCAAGGGAGUGUGUGCAGGGGAACUGCCCUUUAUAAAACCAGAUAGUUUCUCAGAAAAUCUCAGAUUCAGAAAUGCGCCUAGCAGAGAAUAAAGACCAAUUCCACACCACACCCGAG